Felis catus (domestic cat) is the source of this 1915-nucleotide long non-coding RNA. RefSeq lists it as uncharacterized. NCBI's taxonomy places the organism in Eukaryota, Metazoa, Chordata, Mammalia, Carnivora, Felidae. The record is from RefSeq and is a predicted model, not a curated record. The transcript is spliced from 3 exons.
GCGGGGGGCGGGGCUGGUCUGUAAGUAGUGACGUGGGGGUGCCCAGCCCCUCUGGGAUGAGCAGCUGCCGGGUCACGAGGCCCACAGCGAUGGCGACACUGGACACAGACUUCCCUGAGGUCCAGGACAGAGGGGGCGGACAGUUUCCUGCAGGCAGAGAAGGUUCCAUGAGCCGCACACUCGUGGCCUGUCUCUGCCUCCUCGCCAAGGGUUCCCCCAGGAUGUGACAGGUAAGUGUGAGAAGAGAGAGGACCGGGGGACAAGGGUCUUCUUCCCCUCUCCACUAGAAGUGCACAGUCCGCCCCGUCCCUCCGCGUCACUUACAGAAGCCGCCCUGACCCGGCCCUGCGGCAGGAGCCCCGCGGCCUGGCUGGUCUCAUUCUGGAACGUGGCGGCAGGGGCUCCGUACCCUCCACGGUCGAGACCACACUCUCCAAGGUCAGCCUGACGGGUAAUGAAGGUGAGAGUCUGGCCUUCACACACCUUAUCCGGUUUGUCGUUUUCUCUCAUUUCUCAAUUCGGCACAGAAAGGGGUGGUAUUUACUCAGUGGCCUCAAAUCCUAACGCUUUUCAAUUUAAAAUCUAGAAAUGGCGGAAAAGGAAGUAGAUGCUCUUCAGCACCAGAAAUGGAAGGGUCUGGUCUGUGAACCGGGAGGGGGAGGAGGGGAGCCCACAGUAGUAAAUGGGGGUAAGACCCCCGUCCGCGUCCCACAGGGCGCCAGGCCGGGUCCGCUGCCCGCUCAGGACGGGCCCCGGCCACACAGCCCAGGCCCUCUCUCUGGAGCUGGAAGAACCCCGUGUGCCCCGGGCCGUGGCUACCACUGGGGGACAGAGGGCGGGACGGAUCGUACCGGGACCGUGUCCGCGGUCCUGCGCCGUCCGCCCCGGUGAAGGCGCCGAGCUGAGCAGCUGCGGAGCUGCGGCGCUCGGGAGGGACAGGUGACUCGGAGAUGCCCCAGGGUGACGCGGGGGAGAAGACCCGACUGAAGACGGCUUCGCACAGGGCACGACAGGAACCCCCGCCCCAAUCAACAGUAACCAGACUCAACAGGGGAGCAUUCGUAACCCAGUAUUUCAGGCUCGGGAUGAGGGGAGGCACACUCUUUCUGUAAAGAACCAGAGUGCAGGCCACACGGUCUCUGGACAGGACCUACAGAAAACACGUCUGAGAAUGGGUACGACCGUGUUCCGGGAAACUUCGUUCACCGGAACAGCAAACAGGAUAUGUGAAUUCAGAAACCCAGUUCCUCCAAUCAUGAUGCCCCUAUGACAGCUCUGAAUCCCUGCUUUGGAUCUGUCCGCACACGGGAUCCCCCGGGAUCACGAACUUGCACUCUCUCUGUUCUCGUCAAACAUGCCAGAACCCGGCCUUGUCACUGGUGGGAUCAAGGCCACCUUCCUGAGACGGACACCUUGUCAUCGGCAAGAUGUUCGGACGGGUGAGCUCCAAGUUCUGGGGAGGUUCUCGGAACGGCAGCAGCGAUGAAGACAGUGCUUUGCCCUCUCGAGGUCACUGCUCUAAGUGGGAUAAACCCCCCUUUGGUUCUAAAUGUCAGCUGCACUGCCCUGUAAUCACGCCUAGUCCCUAAAACACACAGGGGAGGACUCUGGAGACCGUUCCAGUAAGAUCAUCCCUAAUAGACUCACUACAGACGUAGUUCUUCGGAAGCUGCUUGGACAAAUCCGUUCUUUGUAUCCCUCACUGGUGUUUAUUCCUCUGUAAUAAUCGAGUGCCAAAAACAAAGCUGAAAAGGUCCAAGUUUGGGUAAGUGGGAAAUUACUACCCACUUAAGUUCAGAAAUUAACAAAUAAAUGUUUUGGGGGGCGCCGGGGUGGCUCAGUCGGUUAAACGUCCAACUUCGGCUCAGGUCAUGAUCUCGCGGUCCGUGAGUUCGAGCCCCGCGUUGGGCUCUGU